Meleagris gallopavo (turkey) is the source of this 2940-nucleotide long non-coding RNA. NCBI's taxonomy places the organism in Eukaryota, Metazoa, Chordata, Aves, Galliformes, Phasianidae. The record is from Ensembl.
AGGAUCUCUGGAUAUCUUUGAGCGGAAAGAUGUAAAAGAUAACAGAUGGGGUCUUUUGCAGAACCAGCUAUGGACUGACCAAAGGAAUAUGGAAUAUUUGUGCAUCGGUACGUGAAGGCACCUCCCCGCAAUGAUCGCAAGACUUGAUAAAAAUGGCUGCUAUCACAGAAUGUGAAGCUCAAUCAGGGAGUGAGGAAGACUGCCCCAAAGCAACUCCUGCAGGUAAAAUCCCUUCCCAGGUUCCUCAGGUGUUUGGAAGCGCUGGCACAAACUACAGGCCCAGCUCACAUUCUUCUCCAAUUUGUGUUGGGGCUAACCCAGUACUGCUGUGCUGGGCGGAUUUUUACACUCACAUUAUGAGCAUGAGACUCCAGUGACCACUGCUGUGAAGUUUAACACAAAUAGAUGUUCUGUAUCUGUGCCAAAACACACCGUUCAUUGGGGUGCUGCAGAUGAUACCUAAUGAGUAUAAUUCCCAGCAUUUCAGAGGUAGUGUUGGCUGAGAUUAGCAAGACUAACUCAAUAAAGCACAAUCAUAAUUGCAUAUUCACUGGGAAAGGGAAAAAUAAUCAAAUGAAAAAGGACAAAACCAGCAGGGAAAGAAAAUUUAUUUCCAAGCAUCUACGAGAGUGCUACAAACAAUAGAGACUAAAACUCAAAGCAUUUGAAACUUAAAAAAUGUAGUUGACAAUGUCCUUCUUAAAAAAUCAAACAUAAAAAUGUAGAAAAUGCAGUUAUUAAUUCUAAACCUUGCUCAAUAGUGAAACAAAACCAGAUAGAUAGCAUCAAUGAGGAUGGAGUCCUACAAAUGACUUUUUUUUUUUUAUUUCCAUUUGUUAAUUUGUAAAUUGAUACUCAUUUCAUUUUUUAAUAUUUAUUUAAAUUUAAAAUGGAGAAAUGUGCAAAUCUAGCAAAAUAUUCUUUGGAUUAUAAACAGAGAAAAAUCAUCAGCCAAAGAAAUUUGAACCAAGUUAAUAAUAAACUAUAGAAUUAUAUAGAAUGCAUACAGCUAUAAUAAAGUGAAAUAUAACAAUAAACAUUAUAGAGCAAAUCUGCUGAUUUAGCAAACUCUGCCUUAAAACAUAGGGAUAUAAUGGGACAAGUGAAUAUGUUGUGAUUAUAGAGCUGAAACGUCAUUCAUAAUUUUAAUGAGCUAAAUUUUAAUCUAACCUACAUACAUGGGGGUCUUCAGAAAAGCAAUACACCAACAGAUCAGAUUUCCUCUCAGAUCAAGCAGUUGGGUACCUGACUGCAAAUGAAGGACAGGGUCUGUAAAACGAACAGUAGAAAAAUGGAUAUCGCUUCUAUUUAUUGCCACUUCCCAUAUUGCAGCUGCUGAUCUCUGACCCUAAACAGCAAACUAUAUUAAAUUUAGAAGAACUACAGCUGUACACAGAUGCUGAAAAUGUGGAUGCACGGAACACAUUCCGAUCCCUCGCUCAUUCUGAACUAAUAUAAAAAAAGUUAUAGAUCAUUUUUCGAUUAAAAACAUACAUUACAAAGAACGACUCUGAAAGCACUCCGUAUUUCUGUCAUCACAAAUUAAAACACCUUCCUAUCAGUGGAUGAUUCUAUUCUACUGCAAUAAAUGAAAAAUAAAAUAAAAGUAAGUGCCAGAAUCUUAAUUAAUAUUACGUAAGGUAAUUGUCAGGUAGAACAGUCUUUAGGGAACUUAUAGCUAAAUGGGGUCAGAUUUCAGUUUCUAAAACCCACAGUUUAGCACAGACAGGGAAAUCACAGCCUGGAGUAAGCUGUAAGCACAGAGUACUCCCGUCCACUUCUAAAGUCAGUUCUGAAACCUCUGGAAUUCCUAAGACGUAAGAUAAAUGCAUAUUAUAUGGGACAUAUUUAAAGGUAUUACACUUAAUUUAAUCCAGAAAACACAGUAGUAUUAUAGGAAGAUUAUUACUGUGUUCUGGGAGCAGCCACAAGCUGUAGAUAGAGGGUACAAAAUGUUCACCAGACGUUACAUUUUUUUUUUUUAAUCUAAGAAACAUUUUUAAAAUGUACUUGAUUUUUAAAUAAUCACUUAACAAGGCAACAAACCAAUUACAAACACAUAAUAAAUAAGGCUAUUAAAAGGUCACAACUGUAGUAAAUUAGUCAGAACUAUAAAUGGGACAUUAGAAACACUAUGUUUUGUUCUUAUAUGCUUAAUAACCAGAACAAGAAUUAAAAAAGAAUCAGUUUAUUUCAAAGUCUGCUUCUUAUAUUGAAGCACAUAUUAAAGCAACAGUACAAUGUUCAUAAAAUAUAAGUGUGAUGCUGUAACAUUUCUUACAUGUCAGAAUACUGAUAUUUGUAUGUAUACUAAAAUAAGAAUUUUAAAAUUGUACAAAUAGAUACAUUAAAAAUGACAUAGAAAUAGGGCGCCUCCCACUGCAACAAGACAGAGUUUUUAUAUCUGGCACGUAUUAGUUCAAGAUGAAAGUAUAAGCAAAAAGAUUUACAAGAAUCAGCUGUAACAAGUUUGAUGCUCAAGAGACAUAAUAAUUGUACAUUGUACUGUACAUACAUCAUAUGGGUUUAAGCUGGCUGAAUAUUAUAUAUUUCAAGUUUAAAAAUGCACUACCAUAUAGAGUGUCCAUAGUUUAAGGCGAAAUUACAGCUCAGAACUGUUAACUUUUCUAAUUUGUGGAAGCUUCUUUGACAUAAAAGAUUUAGAUGUUCAUAAUACAUAAAAGAUUUCCCUUCUUUGUAGGUUCACUUUUAGCAUCUUCCUUCAUUUAAAUAUUCUGUGUUUCUUAAGUGGGUUUUUUCCUCUAGUGAAGUUGGCAGCCAACUUCUGCAUUUGCCUUUUGUAGGAAAAGGUACUUCACAGUAUUUACCACUUUUAUGUCCUUUUUUAUCAAAGGAAUCCCUUCUGUCAAAUGUUUAAAUGAGACUUUUCUUGAUUUUUAAAAAAAUACCUGCUUACAUUUCUUCUGGAUUCUUCAGAAC